GUGUACCUACGGGGGGCAGCAGUCGAGAAUCAUUCACAAUGGGGGAAACCCUGAUGGUGCGACGCCGCGUGGGGGAAUGAAGGUCUUCGGAUUGUAAACCCCUGUCAUGUGGGAGCAAAUUAAAAAGAUAGUACCACAAGAGGAAGAGACGGCUAACUCUGUGCCAGCAGUCGCGGUAAUACAGAGGUCUCAAGCGUUGUUCGGAAUCACUGGUCGUAAAGCGUGCGUAGGCUGUUUCGUAUGUCGUGUGUGAAA
RNAcentral lists this ribosomal RNA (255 nucleotides) under uncultured bacterium. RNAcentral describes it as "partial 16S ribosomal RNA". It matches the Rfam family "Bacterial small subunit ribosomal RNA", at positions 333 to 599 of the family's 1533-position model. The record is from RNAcentral.